UACGGAGGUGGCAAGCGUUACUCGGAAUUAUUGGGUGUAAAGGGCAAGUAGGUGGCAUGGUAAGUGAGAGGUGAAAUACUCCGGCUCAAUCGGAGAACUGCCUUUCAUACUGCCUUGCUUGAGGAUGACAGGGGGAAAUGGAAUUCCAGGUGUAAGGGUGAAAUCUGUAGAUAUCUGGAAGAACACCAGCGGCGAAGGCGAUUUCCUGGGUCACUCCUGACACUAAAUUGCGAAAGCUAGGGGAGCAAACAGA
This 253-nucleotide ribosomal RNA is filed under the name uncultured bacterium. Its description in RNAcentral is "partial 16S ribosomal RNA". It matches the Rfam family "Bacterial small subunit ribosomal RNA", at positions 524 to 776 of the family's 1533-position model. The record is from RNAcentral.